ACGACGCUGGCGGCGUGCCUAACACAUGCAAGUCGAACGGGACUUAAGGGGCUUGCUCCUUAAGUUUAGUGGCGAACGGGUGAGUAACGCGUGAGGAACCUGCCUUUCAGUGGGGGACAACAGUUGGAAACGACUGCUAAUACCGCAUAAUGUAUCUCUGGGACAUCCCUAGGAUACCAAAGCUUUAUGUGCUGAAAGAUGGUCUCGCGUCUGAUUAGCUAGAUGGCGGGGUAACGGCCCACCAUGGCGACGAUCAGUAGCCGGUCUGAGAGGAUGAACGGCCACAUUGGGACUGAGAUACGGCCCAGACUCCUACGGGAGGCAGCAGUGGGGAAUAUUGGGCAAUGGGGGAAACCCUGACCCAGCAACGCCGCGUGAAGGAAGAAGGCCUUCGGGUUGUAAACUUCUUUUAGCAGGGACGAAGAACGUGACGGUACCUGCAGAAAAAGCAACGGCUAACUACGUG
Molecule: ribosomal RNA, 466 nt
Filed under: uncultured bacterium
Lineage: Bacteria
Description: bacterial SSU rRNA
Rfam family: Bacterial small subunit ribosomal RNA
Source: RNAcentral